Acanthosepion pharaonis is the source of this 114-nucleotide non-coding RNA. NCBI's taxonomy places the organism in Eukaryota, Metazoa, Mollusca, Cephalopoda, Sepiida, Sepiidae. The record is from the annotation of a GenBank genome assembly.
UUACAGCCAUAUCAAAUUGAAAGACCUGUUCCCAUACAAUAACUGAAGUUAAGCAACAAUGAGCCUGGUUAGUACCUAAAUGGGUGACUGUUUGGGAAUACCAAGUGCUGUAAG